GUGUCAGCCGCCGCGGUAAUACGUAGGAUCCGAGCGUUAUCCGAAUUUACUGGGCGUAAAGCGUGUGUAGGCGGUUUGAUAAGUUGGAUGUUAAAGCUCCCGGCUCAACUGGGAGAAGCCGUUCAAAACUAUCAGACUAGAGGACGGUAGAGGGAGGUAGAAUUCCCGGUGUAGUAGUGAAAUGCGUAGAUAUCGGGAGGAAUACCAGUGGCGAAGGCGGCCUCCUGGACCGUUCCUGACGCUCAGACACGAAAGCUAGGGGAGCGAACGGGAUUAGAAACCCCGGUAGUCCUAGCUGUAAACGAUGCAAACUUGGUGUUGGUGGGGUAAAAUCCGCCGGUGCCGAAGCUAACGCGAUAAGUUUGCCGCCUGGGGACUACGGCCGCAAGGUUAAA
This 395-nucleotide ribosomal RNA is filed under the name uncultured bacterium. Its description in RNAcentral is "bacterial SSU rRNA". It matches the Rfam family "Bacterial small subunit ribosomal RNA", at positions 505 to 898 of the family's 1533-position model. The record is from RNAcentral.